AUGCGGAUGGUUAAGGAAUGGG
Molecule: microRNA, 22 nt
Filed under: Echinococcus granulosus
Lineage: Eukaryota; Metazoa; Platyhelminthes; Cestoda; Cyclophyllidea; Taeniidae
Description: egr-miR-10267-5p
Source: miRBase by way of RNAcentral